AUGGGGACUGGGCUGAAAGGUGGCCCGCGGGCCUCCACGCCCGGCCUAGACCAAAGGGCUCGGGGCUCCCGCGGGGGACGCAACGCCUUCAGCCACGCGGGCGCUGACCCUGAAAAGCGGCGCACAGGGACCCAGCCUGGGCCCCUGGCAGGGAGAAAUCGCGAGAGGGGAGAGGAGGUGCGGGGACGGUCGAAUCGCUCAUUCGUUAUUCACGAUUUAUUAGGGAUAGCGGCCGCGUCUGUCCCUCCAGAAAGCUCAGUUAUCCAUCCGGCCAGCAGCGCCAUGAAACGCGCUGACGGUGGGAGGCUCGAGUUAGAAAUUAGGAAAGGAAUCUUCGCCCGGUUUUGGAGCGCCUGUCUCCUCUUCUCUCGUUGCUCGCAGCCAAGGCAGUCCCGGAGCUGGGGGCCCCGGGUGAAUGUUUUCACCCUCUGGCCGGCGACCAGGAGACCUGCGCACAUUAGCCGCCAAGUGACCCUAGCUUGAGCCUGCAGCCACACCGGCGGGAUGGGGGCGGGGAGGAAGAGGAAGGGCGGAGAGAUUUCCUUCUAGAGGGAGUGGUUGGAGAACCCGCGGGAGAAGGGCCAAGGGAAGAUCCGGUCACCUGCUCCCGAGUCUGCACCCGGAAGGGCGAGUUCACCGGCCCCAGAGGAAAGGGGACACGCCCACUGUUCCCAGGGCAAAUGUGUCGCCGGCAUCCUGGACUCUGCCAGGGAAGACGCACAUCCACUACGCUUUGCCGGGAGGGGAGCGCGGCAGGGACUCCCGGUCGGCCGCCCCUCUCUGGCUGCAAGACCCCGAGCAAGAGAAACCUGUAGGGGCUUUGCGGAGACCUGAAUCCCACCCACCAACCACACGGGCACCUACGGGCUGCCCCUCGGGGCAGUAUCAGCCAGUGGGAAGGGGGCUGCCUGAGGGGCCGCCGGAGUCCAUCCAUUUAUUCCUCGGUUGUUAAGCGCUAGAAAGGGGUAUGCUAAGACCCCAUUACCCACUAAAACUCCGGUUUCAUCUUUUGCGUCCUGGAUGACCAGUCCCCACAUUCCUGGCCUUUCUGGUUUCUCAGGAGAACCUUCUGACUCAACUCUUCCCACAUCGGAAGACUUUCCUAGUCUUUGUUCUAUACUGGCCGACAUAGGAGCACCUGUCACGUGCCAAUGUCAAAUACUGCGCUAGGCACUGGGCAUUCAAGGCACAGGAGCCUGGCUUUUGCGCGGGGCGCUCACAGGCCGGUGGGUGUAAACCCUGAGGGACACACAGCCUGUCCCUUUAGCAACCACCACUUCUGUUGUGAGCUCCCGCUAAGGGUAGGUGAGUACUGGGGAGCGCUUCCAGAAGAGGCCUCCUUUGAGCCGAAUCUGCAGAGACCAAGUGUCUACGAGAACUGCUUAAGAGUGCUUUGCACAUUCUCAUCCACAAAGGUCGAGGCUCUCACUGCGCCCAGGAACACGUCUUGGCAGACAUUAGGUACCCCUUGAUUUUGUGUUUGCAUCUCACCCGGUCCUCUAGCUGACAAUGGCAUCAGAAGAGUCAGUGUCUGUCACAGGCUAGAGGCUCGCAGAGGAUAGGAACGCGGGAAAUCUAGGCAAUUACUUCCAGCACAUACGAAGAGCUAUUGCAAGGAUCAGAUCCCUUUAAAAACCGUGACGGUGACAAGGCGGGAGAGGGCGGCUCCUCUCGUGCUUUCAGGAACGUCUUUACCUCUGUGUUCUUUACACCUUUUAUCUCCCCCAAACAAGGUCCUUGGUCUGUUUCUGCUUCUAUUUCUCCAUUCUCCUCCCCACCUCUCUGUGUAUUUCCAGGGGAAAAAAUUGUGUUGCUUUACUGAUGCUUCUCGUAUUAAAUGCGUCUCUUUCCCUCUCUUCAUUGUCUUGUCUUCCCCAUUCACUCUGCUUAGUUCUCUUGUCAUGUCCCUUCUUUCUCUAUCACAACUGUGUUCUCCCUUUCUCACCUUUGUUUCUCUUAAUACCUGUUUCUCUCCCAAUCUCUUCCAAAUGUAGUAUUUAGAGACUGUAACAUCGAUUGAGCCACACAAUAGAAAACUGUCCAACCUCCACUGUAAAUUCAUUCUUAAUCCCACGAAAAAUGCUUCCUGAAACGUGUUGCAUGCACAGUGAGACAAAAACCUCUGUAGGCGGGGUCGGGGGUGUGGAAGGACGUGCUGGAUAAAUUAUCCCAUUACUGACUGAGCAGCAGUGAAUUUUCAAGAAGAGUGAUUCUCUUAGAAAAAGUAUUGCCGCUGCCAUUUAAAUGCAAAAUUUAGAUUUUGAGUAACAGACUUAGGUUUUUAUCUUCCGGGAAAAAAAAAAAAAAAAAAAAAAAAGACAAAAAGAGUUGCAGCGUCCCUGGGUGGGCUCGAACCACCAACCUUUCGGUUAACAGCCGAACGCGCUAACCGAUUGCGCCACAGAGACCGCGACGACUACUAGCGUAGCGGAGAGCCGAGUCAAUGGGAGCGAGCCUGGACGGCGCAGACGCCGUAAGAGAUUCCGCCAUCGGGCGAAAGAAGCGGGACCCAGCGGAGAAAGGUAAGGAUCCUGAUGGGAGAGGGGGGCGACGGGGCUUGGGAAGAGAGGACGCGGGACGUGGACGCUCUUCCUCCACUGGCUCGGCGAGACGUCGACUCUGGCUAUCCUCAGGUUCUACCUCAAACGUGGAGAGGCCCGGAACGUCCCUUUUUAGGGUGACCUGAGACUGAGGUUACGUGAAGUCAGACCGCAGGAGGUCCCCCAAAUCAGAACAAUCUUUGGCUUCCAAACUCUCCUUUAGAGCUGAACCCCUGCAACCGCAGAAUACUCGCGACGCCUAUCCGCGACGCCUUCCCCUUCCCACCUUGCAUCAUUAAAUUUCCAUUUAAUGGGCGCCUCCUACAUACCAAGCACUGUUCUGGGCCAGUGAAUAUUUAGAGCCUAACCAAGUGCCUGAUACACAGUAAGCGUAAGGAUUUCUGAAGUGAAUAAAUAAGCUAGCACAGCUAAUACGAACAACUCAAACAUCACGUUGAUAAGCGUCACGAUGUCGCUUCUGCUGAGGCCGAAGCCCCCUACACCCAGUUUCACCGGCCCACGUGUGUGCAGGCUCCGCCUCCAGUCCCGGCGGUCUGGA
Molecule: non-coding RNA, 3099 nt
Organism: Saimiri boliviensis boliviensis (Bolivian squirrel monkey)
Lineage: Eukaryota; Metazoa; Chordata; Mammalia; Primates; Cebidae
Source: RefSeq, a predicted model, not a curated record